AACGCAUCUUGCGCUCUCGGGUUAUUCCUGGGAGCAUGCUUGUUUGAGUAACGGAAAAGCUCAACCCCCUCUCUAGUCAAAUGGAGAGUGCUUCAGGGUUGGAUCAUGACGCGUGUUGACUUGUCAACUCCGUUGAAAUACAAGAAGCUGAACGAACUUGACCCAAGUCCCGAAUGCAGGCUUCGGCUAACUAUGUUGUAUAACUUCGGUCUCAUAGUGUUGCAUGAGUGGAUCUUGAACUUUGAUCGAUAGUAGGCUUAUCUAAACCCUGUGUUCCUAUACACACUUUUUUGCUUGUUCUCAAAUCAAGUAGGACUACCCGCUGAACUUAA
RNAcentral lists this unclassified non-coding RNA (332 nucleotides) under uncultured Basidiomycota. RNAcentral describes it as "sequence contains 5.8S rRNA gene, ITS2, 28S rRNA gene". The record is from RNAcentral. Lineage: Eukaryota; Fungi; Basidiomycota.